RNAcentral lists this ribosomal RNA (292 nucleotides) under uncultured bacterium. Its description in RNAcentral is "partial 16S ribosomal RNA". It matches the Rfam family "Bacterial small subunit ribosomal RNA", at positions 505 to 796 of the family's 1533-position model. The record is from RNAcentral.
GUGUCAGCCGCCGCGGUAAUACGAAGGGGGCUAGCGUUGUUCGGAAUUACUGGGCGUAAAGCGCACGUAGGCGGAUCGAUCAGUCAGGGGUGAAAUCCCGCAGCUCAACUGCGGAACUGCCUUUGAUACUGUCGAUCUAGAGUAUGGAAGAGGUGAGUGGAAUUCCGAGUGUAGAGGUGAAAUUCGUAGAUAUUCGGAGGAACACCAGUGGCGAAGGCGGCUCACUGGUCCAUUACUGACGCUGAGGUGCGAAAGCGUGGGGAGCAAACAGGAUUAGAAACCCUCGUAGUCC